Molecule: long non-coding RNA, 1230 nt
Filed under: Mus musculus (house mouse)
Lineage: Eukaryota; Metazoa; Chordata; Mammalia; Rodentia; Muridae
Description: predicted gene, 57996
Source: RNAcentral
AUUGAAGGUGAGUUCACUAUCUUCACAGUGGUGUGUCAAAGCCAGGUCAUUUUUUCCCACAGGCUUUUGGUGCCUGGUCUGUAUCAGGAGACAGAAUCUUGACAACUAGGAUAUUUUUCUAUGGGAGCUCAAAUCUGUUUAGCAUAGUCUUCUUCACAUGCUCAGAAGUUCUCGUAGAGAAGAGUCUUGGUCCAGCAUUCACUCCCAACCCAUAACCAUUGCCCAUCAGGAAUUCAUAUAUAUGACAGAGGCAACAGCAUUGUGUCUGGCGUAAACGGGCAAGAUCUUCAGUCCCAGGCAAUGGGCAAGUAUGAUAUUUGAAGAGAAUGGAAGCCACUUAGACAGUGUGAUCUAGCACAACAGGUCUACAGCCAGGUAGAAGACAAUACCUCUGAAGAGUCUGAGCAUGACAUCACUCAAGAAGAAGAGUAGGAGGAAGCCUUCUUCCCAGGCCCUGGGGAAUAUUGUUGGCUGCAGAAUUUCUCACGGGUGGAAGGAAGGUAAUGAGCCUGUCACCCAUUGGAAGGCCAUCAUUCUAGGUCAACUGCCAACAAACCCUUCUCUUUAUUUGGUGAAGUAUGACGGAAUUGACAGUGUCUACGGACAGGAGCUCCACAGCGAUGAGAGGAUUUUAAAUCUUAAGGUCUUGCCUCACAAAGUAGUUUUUCUUCAGGUGAGGGAUGUCCACCUCGCCAGCGCCCUGGUUUGCAGAGAGGUACAACACAAAUUUGAGGGGAAAGAUGGCUCUGAGGACAACUGGAGUGGGAUGGUGCUAGCCCAGGUGCCAUUCUUACAGGACUAUUUUUACAUUUCCUACAAGAAGGAUCCGGUCCUCUACGUCUAUCAGCUCCUGGAUGACUACAAGGAAGGUAACCACCACAUCAUUCCAGAGACCCCUCUGGCUGAGGCGAGAUCAGGUGAUGACAAUGACUUCUUAAUAGGUUCCUGGGUGCAGUACACCAGAGAUGAUGGAUCCAAAAAGUUCGGAAAGGUUGUUUACAAAGUUCUAGCCAAUUCUACUGUGUACUUUAUCAAAUUUCUUGGUGACCUACAUAUCUAUGUCUAUACUCUGGUGUCAAAUAUCACUUAAAUUAAAAAAAAUCACAAAGUACAGAAAAGUAAACUUAUAGGAUUGAAAAAAAUGUUUAUUUUCCUGUGUUGGGUACCUAUGGGUCUUUGACAACCUCAGUAUCUUUGUCAAUAAAAUUUGUUUUGUUCUAAAAAUUAAUA